GACGAACGCUGGCGGCGUGCUUAACACAUGCAAGUCGAACGAUGAACCCGGAGCUUGCUCUGGGGGAUUAGUGGCGAACGGGUGAGUAACACGUGAGUAACCUGCCCUGGACUCUGGGAUAAGCGUUGGAAACGACGUCUAAUACCGGAUAGGACCUUGGAUCGCAUGAUCUGGGGUGGAAAGUUUUUUCGGUCUGGGAUGGACUCGCGGCCUAUCAGCUUGUUGGUGAGGUAAUGGCUCACCAAGGCGUCGACGGGUAGCCGGCCUGAGAGGGUGACCGGCCACACUGGGACUGAGACACGGCCCAGACUCCUACGGGAGGCAGCAGUGGGGAAUAUUGCACAAUGGGCGAAAGCCUGAUGCAGCAACGCCGCGUGCGGGAUGACGGCCUUCGGGUUGUAAACCGCUUUUAGUAGGGAAGAAGGGCUUCGGCUUGACUGUACCUGCAGAAAAAGGACCGGCUAACUACGUG
This 472-nucleotide ribosomal RNA is filed under the name uncultured bacterium. RNAcentral describes it as "partial 16S ribosomal RNA". It matches the Rfam family "Bacterial small subunit ribosomal RNA", at positions 28 to 507 of the family's 1533-position model. The record is from RNAcentral.